UUCAAGAGCACGGAUCAGCCGAACACCAUCAGCAUUUGCCAAUAUUUUAACCCCAUUUUCACUGGUUGAUACAGCUAAAAGUGUGCCUUCUUUACUAAAUCGGAUGCAUGGAGAUGCUGGUAAUCCACCAUCAGCAUCUGCAGUAGUCAAGAGGUUUGUAUUAUCCAUGUCCCAGAAUUUGAUUAUGAACUCAUCGCCAGCAGCCAAGAAUCUGUUUUUAGUAGUAUCAAAUUGCACCACCCCAACAGAUCUUUUCCCAAGGCCAACAUAAGUACGUUUAACAGCACCUUCACUUUCAUUCCACUCCACAAGGUAUGAUUCACCAUCUUUACUGGUGCCACAAGAAAAGAGCCUUGCUCCAUCAGCACUGUAAGCCAUUGUAGUACAUGAGUGGCCUGGAGCAUCAUAAUCAACCCUGGAU
RNAcentral lists this unclassified non-coding RNA (421 nucleotides) under Hevea brasiliensis (rubber tree). The record is from RNAcentral. Lineage: Eukaryota; Viridiplantae; Streptophyta; Magnoliopsida; Malpighiales; Euphorbiaceae.